AGAUGACUCGCAUGUUUCUGCUGGCCCCGGGAAAGGAUGAGCCCCCAUGAAGCCAGAUGAGAGCUGAGUCCCUAUCUUACCUGCAGACCCCGUUUCUGGGGCCAAGGAUGGGACCCAGCGGGGACCUGGAGAGUAACACCAGCACAUGAGAGUCAGGAGGAGCAGGAGCUGAGAUGAGACGAGGAUGCAAAAGUGAACAGAACCUUCAGAUUCCGCUCCGAGGGGACUGCAGAAACUGAUGAGAUCUCUGCCGGACACAGUGAAGCCGGAGGAGGCGUUCAAAGGACUGCAGAGGGAAGACACCCUGAGCCGUGGAGGACACAUAACCUCGC
Molecule: long non-coding RNA, 332 nt
Filed under: Equus caballus (horse)
Lineage: Eukaryota; Metazoa; Chordata; Mammalia; Perissodactyla; Equidae
Description: lncRNA (ENSECAG00000052679.1)
Source: RNAcentral